Molecule: ribosomal RNA, 252 nt
Filed under: uncultured bacterium
Lineage: Bacteria
Description: partial 16S ribosomal RNA
Rfam family: Bacterial small subunit ribosomal RNA
Source: RNAcentral
UACGUAUGGAGCAAGCGUUAUCCGGAUUUACUGGGCGUAAAGGGAGCGUAGGCGGAAUAUCAAGUCAGCGGUAAAAAUUCGGGGCUCAACCCCGGCCCGCCGUUGAAACUGGCAGUCUCGAGUUGGAGAGAAGUAUGCGGAAUGCGCGGUGUAGCGGUGAAAUGCAUAGAUAUCGCGCAGAACUCCGAUUGCGAAGGCAGCUUACCAAGCUACUUCUGACGUUGAGGCACGAAAGCGUGGGGAGCAAACAGG